AAUACGUUCCCGAGCCUUGUACACACCGCCCGUCACGUCACGAAAGUCGGUAACACCCGAAGCCCGUGGCCCAACCCGUAAGGGGGGAAGCGGUCGAAGGUGGGACUGGCGAUUGGGACG
RNAcentral lists this ribosomal RNA (120 nucleotides) under uncultured bacterium. RNAcentral's name for it is "partial 16S ribosomal RNA". It matches the Rfam family "Bacterial small subunit ribosomal RNA", at positions 1365 to 1482 of the family's 1533-position model. The record is from RNAcentral.